Molecule: unclassified non-coding RNA, 429 nt
Filed under: uncultured fungus
Lineage: Eukaryota; Fungi
Description: partial internal transcribed spacer 1
Source: RNAcentral
GGGGUAUAUCGGAUUACCGACUGCGGCCGCUUUUGCUUCCCGCCAGAAGCAGGUUAUCGGCGUGGAUAUCAACCAACAUGCGGUAGACACCAUAAAUCGCGGUGAAAUUCACAUCGUGGAGCCGGCGUUGGGCAAUGUGGUGAAGAUGGCGGUGGAAGGCGGCUUUCUGCGUGCGACGACGACACCUGUCGAGGCCGAUGCGUACCUGAUUGCCGUGCCGACGCCAUUCAAAGGCGAUCACGACCCUGACAUGGCCUAUGUGGAAGCCGCGGCGAAAUCCAUUGCGCCGGUAUUAAAAAAAGGGGCACUGGUGAUUCUGGAAUCAACAUCGCCGGUCGGCGCAACGGAGCAAAUGGCUGGCUGGCUGGCCGGGAUGCGCCCGGAUCUGACCUUUCCCCAGCAGGCGGGCGAGCAGGCCGACGUGAAUAU